Balearica regulorum gibbericeps (East African grey crowned-crane) is the source of this 599-nucleotide non-coding RNA. NCBI's taxonomy places the organism in Eukaryota, Metazoa, Chordata, Aves, Gruiformes, Gruidae. The record is from RefSeq and is a predicted model, not a curated record.
AUGGCUGGAGAACUGGCAGACAAGAAGGACCGGGAUGCGUCCCCUGCCAAGGAGGAGAGGAAGCGCUCCCGCACCCCAGACAGGGACCGGGAUCGGGACCGGGACCGGAAAGUUUCCCCCUCCAAGGACAGGAAGCGUCACCGGUCCCGGGACAGGAGACGAGGCAGCCGGUCACGAUCCCGCUCCCGGUCCAAGUCGACAGAGAGGGACCGUCGGCACAAAGAGCGCGACCGGGACCGGAACAAGAAGGACCGGGACCGGGAGAAGGAUGGGCACCGGCGGGACAAGGACAGGAAGCGAUCAAGUUUGUCCCCGAGCAGGGGGAAGGACUCAAAGUCCCGGAAGGAGCGGGACUUACGGAAAGCAGAGGAAGAGGAAGAGAAUGCCCUGAAGAAGGAGAAGGCCCAACCGCUGUCCUUGGAGGAGCUGCUGGCGAAGAAGAAGGCUGAAGAGGAGGCAGAAGCCAAGCCCAAGUUCCUGUCCAAGGCCGAGCGGGAGGCCGAGGCUUUGCGACGGCGGCAGCAGGAGGGGGAGGAGCGGCAGCGGCUGCUGGAGGAGGAGAGGAAGAAGAGGAAGCAGUUCCAGGAGAUGGGGAGGAA